GGGGUGCCUGCGGUCUUGGGGUCCACCCCUGGGACCGCAGGUCGCAGUGGCAAGGGGGACCUGACUGUUUAACAAAAACAUAGGUCCCCGCGAGCCCGUAAGGGUGAGUACGGGGGCUGAAUCCUGGCCACUGGCGGUACGUGAACCCCGGGUACAACCGGGCGAAGCGCCGCUGAAGGCCGGGGGUAACUCUGACCCUCUUAAGGUAGCCAAAUGCCUUGCCGGGUAAGGGCUGGUGGCGGGGGUCAUCUUUAUGUCCUCAGUAGCCUAUCUGCUCGGCCUAAUUGUGGGGGAUGGCGGGCUGUACCUUCUCCGCUACAAAGGCGGCCGUACCGAAUACAGAGUUGUGGUGACUCAAAAAGACGCCGCCAUUGCCGAAAACGCGGCUAAGAUGUUUCAUUCGUUGCUCAAGGAGCUCGGCUUGGGAUCUAAGGUUCAGGUAAUAAGUGGGCGUACCCGCGUAGAGGUGCGGGUCUCGAGCAAGCGCCUUUGGCAGCUCUUCAACGACAAGCUGGCCAACCUAGAGGGCUUGGCGCCCGACGAGAGGAUCGCCUUCAUUAGAGGGCUCUACGACGCUGAGGGGGACAAGACCGGGAGGAGGGCUAGGCUCUGGAACAAGAACCGCCGGCUUCUAGACCUCGUGGGGAGCUGGCUGAGGGAGUUGGGAAUCGAGAGCAGAGUCUACCUUGACGACAAGAGACACGGGGUCUACGUCUUGGAGGUGCCAUCCCCCUACAGAAGGAGGUUUUUCGAAUUGUUGUACCCGCCCCAGCCCCCCGAUAGUUCCGGCGUGCAUGAAUGGAUCAACGAGGUCCCCACUGUCCCGGCCCGGGGCCCGGCGAACCCACCUCCAGGUGCACAGUCCUGGGACCCCCGACGGGGCGAGAAGUCCCUGUGGAGCUUCACAGCAGCCUGUCGUUGCGGGGGGGCGGGGGGUGCAGAGCGUAGGUGGGAGCGAUGAAACGGGGUCUCCGGGCCCCGUGGAUGCGGCCCUGGAACACCACCCACUCUCCGCCCCUCCGCUUACCCGCCGCAAGGCGGGGACAGCGGCAGGCGGGCUGUUCGGCUGGGGCGGCACACCCCUGAAAAGAUAUCGGGGGUGCCCAAAGCUCGGCUCAGGCGGGUCAGAAAUCCGCCGUAGAGUGUAAGGGCAAAAGCCGGGCUGACUGGGCCCUUGAACGCAAGGGGCCCAGGCGGGAAACCGGGGCCUAGAGAACGCUCGUGCCCCCACCAGACCCACCUAGGGCGAAAGCUUAAAUACAGGGAGGGCUCCCGGACCAUGGAGGAGAUAUUGGAGUACUUGGCGGGGUUAAAGGCAGAUGGUUAUUUGCUGAUUGACGAAAAGAAGCAUGAUUAUCAGUACAGGGUAUACGACAAGUCGCAGGAGUUCCUUCUGCUCGUUGCUGGGCUGAUUGAGAGAGUCGGCUACAGGGCCCAUAUCUACACGAGAGGAGGCGGUAGAUGGUACGAGCUGGUGGUAUACGGCAGAGAAUUCGUGUUGCUAAUAAACGAGCUCUGGCAUAGGCUCUUGGAGAACCCCACCAACGCCUUCGCUAGGGGGCUUGCCGAUGCCGAAGCCUCCGUGAUAAGGGGGAAUCCUAACAGGGUCAAGUUCACAAAUAGAGAUGUGGCGGUGGUUAAGGCUUUCGUCAAUGCGUUGGCCAGAAACGCGGUGCCACAUAGGACUUACACAGAGAGGCGGAGAA
RNAcentral lists this ribosomal RNA (1706 nucleotides) under soil metagenome. RNAcentral describes it as "bacterial LSU rRNA". The stretch from base 1 to 1357 matches the Rfam family "Archaeal large subunit ribosomal RNA", at positions 1842 to 2987 of the family's 2987-position model. The record is from RNAcentral.